GUUUUCAUGUAUCACCAUGAAAACAUGCACAUGAAUUUCAUAUUAUAUGAAAUUCAGUGUUUCUUUGAAUCCUGGAACUAAAUAUUAAAACCAAGGGCACACAGUCUGUAUCUCAGACUCCAACAGUCUCUCAGAGCUCGGGUGAUGGGUGCUGGCCAGGCACCUCCCGUCCGUUCUCGGGUGUCACUUAGUAAUACUCGCACAUAACCACGCUGCAGAGUCGUCUGAAAACUACAGUGUGGACGCUGCAGCGGAAAAACUUUUAUAGAGUUCGGGGUGUAGAUGCUGUGACAGCGUCUGCCCCUCACUCGACCACGUAGAGGCUUUGCCCACCUAGCCCAGGUGAGACGUCGCCUCGCAACGCCCCCCUGAGCUCGGGGGCUCCACGGAAACCAGGGGUUCAGACGCUGCUUGGCAACCUUCACCCCGAAGAAACCACGCAGGGUAUGUCCCGUGUAGCACAGAAGAGGCGUGGCUUUGCCACCCUUCUCAGUGCCGCGGGGCCCUGCGGAAACCAGGGGUGCGGACGCCGUUCGGAACGUGCGCCCCGAAAAAGCCACGCGGCGGAUACCUCUAGAGCUCCGGAGCCGACGCUGCUGAGCGACGGCCGGCCAGUGCCCGAGGGUGCCGCGGAACAGUGGAAAGAGAGUUACGGUGUUAUGGUGAUCAGCCGCAUAAACUGCGCUCUAGACGGCCUUAAAGGGUGAAAAAACCUGUCUUCGUAGUUGCCAGUGAUGAUGGAGCAGUGUCUCACCGAUGGAGGAGUCGUGGGAUGGCUCGUAAACGUGCGGGCGCCAGGGACGCUUUGGAGGGACUAGGAAGAUGAAAUCAAAAGGAAAAAAGGAGAAAGAUCCCCCCUGCAAAUCCAGUUCCCCCCUGCAAAUCCAUGCACCGGUUCAUCUGCUCGGCUGCUGCUGCUUGACAGAGAAAAAGCAGAAUUCGUACCGGCUCCUGAGACUCCCCGCUGAAGAACCCGGCCGUCCU
Poecile atricapillus (Black-capped chickadee) is the source of this 984-nucleotide long non-coding RNA. RefSeq lists it as uncharacterized. The record is from RefSeq and is a predicted model, not a curated record. The transcript is spliced from 3 exons. NCBI's taxonomy places the organism in Eukaryota, Metazoa, Chordata, Aves, Passeriformes, Paridae.